Molecule: transfer RNA, 358 nt
Filed under: Microcystis aeruginosa
Lineage: Bacteria; Bacillati; Cyanobacteriota; Cyanophyceae; Chroococcales; Microcystaceae
Description: 16S-23S ribosomal RNA intergenic spacer
Rfam family: tRNA (bases 135-208)
Source: RNAcentral
AAGGGAGACCUAAUUCAGGUAUGGGACGAAAAAAAAGUAAUCCCUACCAAGAAUCAAUCCCAAAAGGUCGGAGCGAGGCAAAAUUGGCUUUCAAACUAGGUUCUGGGUUCAUAAAAGACCUGAAUCAGGAACAAGGGCUAUUAGCUCAGGUGGUUAGAGCGCACCCCUGAUAAGGGUGAGGUCCCUGGUUCGAGUCCAGGAUGGCCCACCUGCACAGGUGGCAAAAACAAAGAAGCGAGGAAUCAGCACCUUAUCUUACUUAUAUAGUAAGAGAGAAUGCUGGCUCUGAGUAAAGAGUCCAGAGGAACCUUGAAAACUGCAUAGAGCUAGGCGAAAAAGCCAAAAAAGAAGACCGCAA